UACGGGGGGAGCAAGCGUUGUUCGGAAUUACUGGGCGUAAAGCGCGUGUAGGCGGUUUAGUAAGUCAGAUGUGAAAGCCCUUGGCUUAACCAAGGAACUGCAUUUGAAACUACUAGACUAGAGUAUCGGAGGGGAUGGCGGAAUUCCCGGUGUAGAGGUGGAAUUCGUAGAUAUCGGGAGGAACACCUGUGGCGAAGGCGGCUCGCUGGGCCGGUCCUGACGCUGAGGCGCGAAAGCGUGGGGAGCAAACAGG
RNAcentral lists this ribosomal RNA (253 nucleotides) under uncultured bacterium. RNAcentral describes it as "partial 16S ribosomal RNA". It matches the Rfam family "Bacterial small subunit ribosomal RNA", at positions 524 to 776 of the family's 1533-position model. The record is from RNAcentral.